UAAAACCAGCUCCCCGAGUGGUGGGGAUGAUUAUUUGGCCUAAAGCGUCCGUAGCCGGCUCGGUAAGUCUUCCGUUAAAUCCAACGAUCUAAUCGUUGGGCUGCGGGAGAUACUGCAGGGCUAGGGGGCGGGAGAAGCUGACGGUACUCGUGGGGUAGGGGUGAAAUCCUAUAAUCCCAGGAGGACCACCAGUGGCGAAGGCGGUCGGCUAGAACGCGCCCGACGGUGAGGGACGAAAGCUGGGGGAGCGAACCGGAUUAGAUACCCGGGUAGUCCCAGCUGUAAACGAUGCAGGCUAGGUGUUGGCGUGACUACGGGUCACGCUAGUGCCGCAGGGAAGCCGUUAAGCCUGCCGCCUGGGGAGUACGGCCGCAAGGCUG
RNAcentral lists this ribosomal RNA (380 nucleotides) under uncultured archaeon. RNAcentral's name for it is "bacterial SSU rRNA". It matches the Rfam family "Archaeal small subunit ribosomal RNA", at positions 471 to 851 of the family's 1478-position model. The record is from RNAcentral.